Molecule: long non-coding RNA, 2502 nt
Filed under: Lathyrus oleraceus (garden pea)
Lineage: Eukaryota; Viridiplantae; Streptophyta; Magnoliopsida; Fabales; Fabaceae
Description: Pisum sativum (pea) long non-coding RNA (PSAT_LNC003726)
Source: RNAcentral
UCAGAGCCAUCGACACCAGCAAUAGUAGAAUCUCCACAUCAAUUGUAUAGUCCUCCUGGUCCUGCUCUUUCAAUGAAAAUGUCUUUGCAACGGUUUCUACAAAAGAGAAAAAAUAGGAUCCAACAAGCUUCUCCAUAUAAUCAUUAGCGAAAUCAAACUAGUUUGUUAUUUUUUACAAUAGGCUAUUUAGAAUCAAUUAUUUUCUUCUUUUUUUGAUAAGUCUUGUUAGAUUUCUUACAUUUCAAUUUUUUUCUUAAAAGUUUAGUUAUUAUUCAUUAACUAUUAGAAAAAUGAAUUUUUCAUAAAGGAAUUUUUGAUGGAAUAAAUUUCAUCUCAACUGAUAUUAAAUUUUCAUAAAGACUUUGAGAUGGAUUUCAGACAAAUUAUGGUUGAUCAAAGGUUUAAUAAGAGAAAGCUCAUAUGUGAUUGAGAGUUUGAAUACAUCGAUCAACUAUCAUAUAUAAGGGAUUCCACAUGAAGGAAAAUGUAUGAUACAAAUUCACUCUCACUCACAUAUUACUUCUUAUUCUCUCACUUAUUUGAGUGUUGAAGUGUUAACUUUGACUUCACAGGAAGCACUAGUCCAUUGUAGCAAAGCCUUACUUGAUCAUUUCACCCAUCAUUUUUAGUUAUGAACUAAACAGUGAUUGUAUGUGGCAUACAAUAUAUGAUUCCUACAAUUUUCCACAAUUAAAUAUGUCUAGUUAGUUGAUGUAGUAGUCACACUAAGACAAAGAAAACAACUUUCGAUCCUGCUUCACAUAGCACCUUUAAUCCUUCCAAUUUUCGAACCACCUCCAAUCUUUUUCGUAGAUUCGAUUGGCUAGAAGUUGCAUAGCAAGGGCCUCUUCCAUAAAGCAAUAUACAAAUCGGGAAGUGACAUAAAGAUAGAGAGAUGUUAAGGAUUCAAAAUCACAAAAAGAUGGCCCAAAAUUGCUUAUUAUAUCUCAUUGGACUAUAAGUCCUAUAAUGAUAUAAAAUAGUCAUUAGUCACUACUUAUCUAAUCACUUUACACCUAAAGUAGUUCAACGGUUUUACACAAGGUUAGAUAUACCAUAACUAGCCUAGGAUAAGAUUUAUUGUACUUCACUUAUUUGAUUCACCUCAUCUGCUAGAUAACAUAGUUCUAGGACUUAGGGAGGCUAGAAUAAAUAAUGAAUAUGUAGUAGCCUACCCUACUGACUUGGUACAUGUACAACCCAAUUUAUGUGUGUAAAGAAUCACAUACAUUAAGUUGUUAAAUUUUGAUAUGGAAAUAUGAUACAAAAGAAAAAGAGAUGCAUACGUACUUAAAUAUUUCCUACAUUACAUUGUACGUGCAUAUGAGUACAAAAUGCAACUCAAAGUUGUCAUGAUACAGCAGAAACAAAACUAAACAAACUAAGGCAAAAGCUUUCGAGACAAUAUCUUCGUGACAUCUUUCCUUCACCUUUAGUUGUAGAUUGUUCACGUGUAAAAUAUAUGAAAACAACACGGGUGAGAAUAAACUAUCUUAGUAGAGUUCUCAUAUCUUAGGAGUCCUCUCGGUCAUAGGGAUUAACCUAACUAUUAAACCAAGGUUUCUAACCUUAAUUACUUUCAUACCACACAGCAGACAUUAUAAAAUGAGGACAAUAGCAUUACUAAUCACACAAAUCUAGGUUUGUCUAGAUUUAUAAGAAUGCUAAAUUCGAGGAAUGGUCUUUUGAUUAUCCACCUUCCUGCUUUUGGGGUUGCCACCCUCUAGGAAUGGACAUCCGGACGUACCUACUUCUUCCUACUUUUGGGGUUGCUAUCCUCGAGGAAAAGUAUACCGGUUUACUAAUUGCCUAAAUUUUUAGACUCUCACCUUUAAGGUAUGGUAUACCAAAUUUAAUCACUUUUCCUACUAUUGGGGAUGCCACCCUCUAGGAACGGUGUACCGUCUCUCUCUCUCUCUCUCUCUCUCUCUAUUCAUAUAGACUAUGGGAGAUGAAGAUCAUCUUGUCAUCAGCGUUGACGACCGUCAGUAGCGAUAAUGGUCGUCUUCCCAUCUUGAACGUGUUUUUAUGCAGAACCGCAACAUAGGCCCGAAAUUGCCCAAAAUUUCAAUUCUUAUUUAACACUAGAAGUUCAUAACAACACUCAAACAUAUAAUAGGCAAUAAAUUCUAGGGUAAUACACAAACAUACUAUCAAUUAACACAAAACAUGUUUCAAACAAGUAUCAACAUGAAUAACAAGGAAACUCUCAUGAAACCCCCAUUUUUCAAACAUGCAAAUAUUCCCAAAACCAACUUGGAUUACCCACCACUUAAGAACCCCACCUUUAAAAAUCAAAACCUGGAAAUGAGAUUAGAUGAGAAUGAUGAUAACUAUGAUGACCAAAACCUUUCUCCAAGCUUCAACAAUGGAUGCCACAUGCAAAAGUUCCUCUUCUCACUUUCCCCCUUCUCCAUUCGUGCCCUCCUUCCUCAUGUAACUUGUCUCCUAUUUCUCUUUCUCAAUGGACUCCUCAGUUCUCGUAUUUGCACUAACCAUCGU